This 275-nucleotide ribosomal RNA is filed under the name Ixodes sp. RNAcentral describes it as "partial large subunit ribosomal RNA". Lineage: Eukaryota; Metazoa; Arthropoda; Arachnida; Ixodida; Ixodidae. The record is from RNAcentral.
AAAAGCUUUCUUUAAUUGAAUAAUUGAAUUUAAUUUUUUAGUGCAAAAGCAAAAAUAAAAAUUAGGGACAAGAAGACCCUAUGAAUUUUUUAUUAAAUUUUAAAAAAAGUUUUAUAAAAUUUAAUUUAAUUGGGGUGAUGGAAAAAGAAUAAAUAUCUUUUUUUUAAAGAAAAUUGGUUCCGUUUUUAGCGAUUAAAUGAAAAAAAUACUCUAGGGAUAACAGCGUAAUAAUUUUGGAUAGUUCAUAUAGAUAAAAUAGUUUGCGACCUCGAUGU